This 1555-nucleotide non-coding RNA is filed under the name Cladosiphon okamuranus. RNAcentral's name for it is "bacterial SSU rRNA". It matches the Rfam family "Bacterial small subunit ribosomal RNA". Lineage: Eukaryota; Phaeophyceae; Ectocarpales; Chordariaceae. The record is from RNAcentral.
UAAUAAAAAUGAGUUUGAUCCUGGCUCAGAGUGAAGGCUAUAAGUCUGCUUGAAUACAUGCGAGUCGAAUGGUUUAGACCAUGGCGUACGGGUGAGUAAUAGGCUAAUAUCUAGCUCCAACUUUGGGAUAAUCCUAUCCCUCAGGGGAGAAAGUAAUGGGAGAAUACCAAAUAUUUUUGAAAGGUACGCCGGUUGGAGAUGAUUAGGUUCAGUAUUAGGUAGUUGGUAGGAUAAAGCUUACCAAGCCGAUGAUGCUUAGUUGGUCUGGUAGGACGAUCAAUCACACUGGGACUGAGACAAGGCCCAGGUUUCAUUUGAAGGCAGCAGUAAGGAAUAUUGCACAAUGAGCGAAAGCUUGAUGCAGCAAGACUUGGUGAGGGAUUGAAGGCUUAGGUUGUAAACCUCUUUUUUAACUGAGGAUAAUGACAGUAGGUUAAGAAUAAGUCCCGACUAACUUCGUGCCAGCAGUCGCGGUAAUACGGAGGGGGCAAGCCUUAUUCGUCAUAACUGGGCGUAAAGGGCCCGUAGGUUGCUUUCUGAAAGGUUAUUUGUUAAAGACUGUAGCUUAACUAUAGAAAAACAUUUAAAACAGGAAAGCUAGAGUCUGACAGAGGGAAAUAGAAUUUUUCAAUUAGGGUUAACCUCCGGAGAAGUGGAAGAGAAUAUCAGCAGCGAAGGCGAUUUCUUUGUUCAGUACUGACGCUGAGGGGCGAAGGCGUAGGUAGCGAACAGGAUUUGAGACCCUGGUAGUCUACGCUGUCAACGAUGAGUGCUAGUUUUUAGAAAUCUAGAGAAUAUAGCUAAGGCAUUAAGCACUCCGCCUGAGGAGUACGAGCGCAAGCUUAAAAAUCAACGGAAUUGGCGGGGGUUCAAACAAGUGGUGGAGCAUGUGGUUUAAUGCGAUAAUACGCGCGUAACCUUACCAGUUCUAGUAAGUCUGUCACUUUUACGGAGACGUAAUAAGUUUUGAGGCUUUCAGGUGUUGCAUGGCUGUCGUCAGCUCGUGUCGUGAGAUGUACGGUUAAUUCCUGUAACUGAGCGUAACCCUUAUCUUUCUUAUGUUUUGUAUUGGAUAAAACAAGAAAAACUGGAUAGAAACUGCCCACGUGGAGUGGGAGGAAGGUGGGGAUGAGGUCAAGUCUUCAUGGCCCUUAUGAACUGGGCUACACACGUGCUACAAUGGGAAGUACAACAAGUUGCAAAGAAGUAAUUCAAAGCCAAUCUUAAAAGCUUCUCUUAGUUCGGAUUGAGGGCUGCAACUCGCCCUCAUGAAGCUGGAAUCACUAGUAAUCGCGAAUCAGGAUGUCGCGGUGAAUACGUUACUGGGCCUUGCACACACCGCCCGUCACGUCCUGGGAGUUGACUUGGCCAGAAGAUUUUGGAAUAAACUUUUUAAGCUUAAUUUAUUCCUUAUAUGACCACCAUCAUAUUAGGAUAAAAAAAAAGAUAUUUUUUGUUAUUAAGUAAAAAAAGAAUGUCCUUUUUAAGGACAGGUAAGCAACUGGGAUGAAGUCGUAACAAGGUAGUUGUAGGGGAACCUGCGGCUGGAAAAAAU